Molecule: non-coding RNA, 317 nt
Organism: Pogona vitticeps (central bearded dragon)
Lineage: Eukaryota; Metazoa; Chordata; Lepidosauria; Squamata; Agamidae
Source: RefSeq, a predicted model, not a curated record
GUCUCUGUGAGGAGUCCCGCCUUUUUUUCCCCUCUGAGGCGACUGAAGUUAAAAGUUUCCUCGGCGGUUUUUUGGCUUCGUAUUUGCUUUUCUUUCCCUCACCGGGUGUAUUUUUCAAGAGCAAUAGAACAGCCAAGGCCUGUGUAGGCUUAUUCUGAAGGAGGUCCAUUGAGUUCAAUGACUUACUUCCACGAUUAAAAGCCUCAGUGCUCUGCUCGCAAAGAGAAGAAAAGUGUGGUUACAAUGAACCUAAAGCACAAGGUGUGUCUUCUUGAUGCCAAUCAUACUGCUAGUUUAAUGUGAAGUGAACCUGUCUU